This 161-nucleotide ribosomal RNA is filed under the name uncultured bacterium. RNAcentral's name for it is "partial 16S ribosomal RNA". It matches the Rfam family "Bacterial small subunit ribosomal RNA", at positions 393 to 539 of the family's 1533-position model. The record is from RNAcentral.
CAUGCCGCGUGUGUGAAGAAGGCCUUCGGGUUGUAAAGCACUUUCAGCGAGGAGGAACGGGCAGCUGUUAAUACCAGCUGUUUUGACGGUACUCGCAGAAGAAGCACCGGCUAAUUUCGUGCCAGCACCGUCGGUGACUGAGCGGGCUGGCAAGGCGCAUA